UGUACUUUGCAACAGUUCUGAGAAGAGAGCUACGUGCUCUUCCAUUGCUGUUGUUUGUGAUGUGUAUCGUGUAUUGAGAAAAAUCUGUGAAUAUGCUCCAAUUACCUUUUGGAACUGUAAGAGAUAUAUUCUGGAAUUUUUAUUUUUAUUAUUAUUUUUUUUUGGGAUAAAGAGUUGAGAAGGAUCCUAUCAACAAAUUGGUUGAAGCCUGUAUCAUUGGGUGCUGAUGUGGAUGUUCCUAGCGUUGAUUGCAUUAUGGAAGACGGUUUCCACUGGAAAACGAAAACAAUGAGAAAGAUUAUUUAUUUAUUUUGGAACUUGUGGGCAUGUGAGUGUUUGGCCUAUGAAUCUUUCAAUAUUGUCUCCUCUCUCAUAAAAUUGUUU
This 384-nucleotide unclassified non-coding RNA is filed under the name Hevea brasiliensis (rubber tree). The record is from RNAcentral. Lineage: Eukaryota; Viridiplantae; Streptophyta; Magnoliopsida; Malpighiales; Euphorbiaceae.